Molecule: ribosomal RNA, 375 nt
Filed under: uncultured bacterium
Lineage: Bacteria
Description: bacterial SSU rRNA
Rfam family: Bacterial small subunit ribosomal RNA
Source: RNAcentral
AUACGUAGGGUGCGAGCGUUAAUCGGAAUUACUGGGCGUAAAGCGUGCGCAGGCGGUUAUGUAAGACAGAUGUGAAAUCCCCGGGCUCAACCUGGGAACUGCAUUUGUGACUGCAUGGCUAGAGUACGGUAGAGGGGGAUGGAAUUCCGCGUGUAGCAGUGAAAUGCGUAGAUAUGCGGAGGAACACCGGUGGCGAAGGCAAUCCCCUGGACCUGUACUGACGCUCAUGCACGAAAGCGUGGGGAGCAAACAGGAUUAGAUACCCUGGUAGUCCACGCCCUAAACGAUGUCAACUGGUUGUUGGGAAUUAGUUUUCUCAGUAACGAAGCUAACGCGUGAAGUUGACCGCCUGGGGAGUACGGCCGCGAGGUUGAA